RNAcentral lists this ribosomal RNA (497 nucleotides) under uncultured bacterium. Its description in RNAcentral is "partial 16S ribosomal RNA". It matches the Rfam family "Bacterial small subunit ribosomal RNA", at positions 28 to 507 of the family's 1533-position model. The record is from RNAcentral.
GACGAACGCUGGCGGCGUGCCUAAUACAUGCAAGUUGAGCGCUGAAGGUUGGUACUUGUACCGACUGGAUGAGCAGCGAACGGGUGAGUAACGCGUGGGGAAUCUGCCUUUGAGCGGGGGACAACAUUUGGAAACGAAUGCUAAUACCGCAUAAAAACUUUAAACACAAGUUUUAAGUUUGAAAGAUGCAAUUGCAUCACUCAAAGAUGAUCCCGCGUUGUAUUAGCUAGUUGGUGAGGUAAAGGCUCACCAAGGCGAUGAUACAUAGCCGACCUGAGAGGGUGAUCGGCCACAUUGGGACUGAGACACGGCCCAAACUCCUACGGGAGGCAGCAGUAGGGAAUCUUCGGCAAUGGACGAAAGUCUGACCGAGCAACGCCCCGUGAGUGAAGAAGGUUUUCGGAUCGUAAAACUCUGUUGGUAGAGAAGAACGUUGGUGAGAGUGGAAAGCUCAUCAAGUGACGGUAACUACCCAGAAAGGGACGGCUAACUACGUG